GGAAAGAUGGCAGAGUGGUCGAUUGCGGCGGUCUUGAAAACCGUUGAACCGAGAGGUUCCCGGGGUUCGAAUCCCUGUCUUUCCGCAA
This 88-nucleotide transfer RNA is filed under the name Parabacteroides sp. D26. RNAcentral describes it as "tRNA-Ser". It matches the Rfam family "tRNA". From Rfam's summary of the family: Transfer RNA (tRNA) molecules are approximately 80 nucleotides in length. Their secondary structure includes four short double-helical elements and three loops (D, anti-codon, and T loops). Further hydrogen bonds mediate the characteristic L-shaped molecular structure. tRNAs have two regions of fundamental functional importance: the anti-codon, which is responsible for specific mRNA codon recognition, and the 3' end, to which the tRNAs corresponding amino acid is attached (by aminoacyl-tRNA synthetases). tRNAs cope with the degeneracy of the genetic code in two manners: having more than one tRNA (with a specific anti-codon) for a particular amino acid; and 'wobble' base-pairing, i.e. permitting non-standard base-pairing at the 3rd anti-codon position. Lineage: Bacteria; Pseudomonadati; Bacteroidota; Bacteroidia; Bacteroidales; Tannerellaceae. The record is from RNAcentral.